UCCUACGGGAGGCAGCAGUAGGGAAUCUUCCGCAAUGGACGAAAGUCUGACGGAGCAACGCCGCGUGAGUGAUGAAGGUUUUCGGAUCGUAAAACUCUGUUGUUAGGGAAGAACAAGUACGAGAGUAACUGCUCGUACCUUGACGGUACCUAACCAGAAAGCCACGGCUAACUACGUGCCAGCAGCCGCGGUAAUACGUAGGUGGCAAGCGUUGUCCGGAAUUAUUGGGCGUAAAGCGCGCGCAGGCGGUCCUUUAAGUCUGAUGUGAAAGCCCACGGCUCAACCGUGGAGGGUCAUUGGAAACUGGGGGACUUGAGUGCAGGAGAGAAGAGUGGAAUUCCACGUGUAGCGGUGAAAUGCGUAGAGAUGUGGAGGAACACCAGUGGCGAAGGCGACUCUUUGGCCUGUAACCGACGCUGAGGCGCGAAAGCGUGGGGAGCAAACAGGAUUAGAUACCCUGGUAGUCCACGCCGUAAACGAUGAGUGCUAAGUGUUAGAGGGUUUCCGCCCUUUAGUGCUGCAGUAAACGCAUUAAGCACUCCGCCUGGGGAGUACGGCCGCAAGGCUGAAACUCAAAGGAAUUGACGGA
Molecule: ribosomal RNA, 589 nt
Filed under: uncultured bacterium
Lineage: Bacteria
Description: bacterial SSU rRNA
Rfam family: Bacterial small subunit ribosomal RNA
Source: RNAcentral